CACCAUGUUGCCCAGAUUGCAUCAUUUCUUUUAAUACUUUGUGGCUGAACUGCUUUUUAAGGACACAACCUCCUAAAACUGUCAUUCGAAACUGUUUGGGUAUUCGGUUUACCUCUUGAUUCUCACUGCUGUGCUGCUGCAUUAAAUAGAUGACACAAGGACUCACUCAGGUGCAGCGUAUAUUCUCCCCUUAUGACAAAGCAUGUGCACACACAUACUUUACAACUAUGUCAUAAACCUGAUAUAUUUUGGCCCAUGCGACUACCAUGGUGACAAGGCCAGGGUCUUGGCCAUGGCCGACUGUCCACGGGGGAAUCUCUUAGGCCACGUUUGCAGUGAGACACAGUGGGGCCUGAAUGGUGAGUCAAUCAGAAGAGAGCAUUUUUUUUCUCCGAUGGCUCAUCUGACUGAGAUCUGUGAGAAAUGUAGACAAAGUACCUCUUUGUUCCAUUUCGGACCAUGCAAUCACAUGACGUGAACUAUUCACAGCAUUGAAAUUAAUUUGAUUUACUGGGAAUCGAUGACUGGAAACGAGAGCGAAGCUUUCUGUGUGUUAAAUCGGGCACUUCACCCACCAUGUAACUGAUCGUCUACUUUGUAGUAUAUCAUCCAUUUAAUACGCUGCUGACUCAUGGCAGCUUGACCAGGAACAAUCUGCUUUCCAGUCUCCUCUCUACCGCUCUGUACUAAAGAGAUUUAUCAUCAAAAUAAUACGAGAAAAAAAAACGUAAUAAUAAAAUCAGGUUUCUCCUGCUAAUUACAGAUCAAAUCUGUUCUCUCGUCAAAGCGGUGAAUGAAGUCAUCAUGAUAAAUGAUGUGUGACUGAUUCACA
Molecule: long non-coding RNA, 832 nt
Organism: Hippocampus zosterae (dwarf seahorse)
Lineage: Eukaryota; Metazoa; Chordata; Actinopteri; Syngnathiformes; Syngnathidae
Exons: 2
Source: RefSeq, a predicted model, not a curated record